Herpailurus yagouaroundi (jaguarundi) is the source of this 3614-nucleotide long non-coding RNA. RefSeq lists it as uncharacterized. NCBI's taxonomy places the organism in Eukaryota, Metazoa, Chordata, Mammalia, Carnivora, Felidae. The record is from RefSeq and is a predicted model, not a curated record. The transcript has 2 exons.
CAAAGAGGUGGACACCUAACCGACUGAACACCCAGGCGCCCCUGUAGUGUCUUGAUCUUAAAACAAAUACAGCAGGGUCAGCUUUUUCUGGAAGACUGUGGUCAGGAAGAUGUCCAGAACAAAACCAAGAAGCACCCAUCUGUCUCGUUUACUCGAUAUAGCUCAUCGCCAAUGAAACUGCAACCGUGAAGAAAACAAAGACACUGGAAAGAAUGGGGUGGAGACAGUAUCCCAGGCUGGGGGAACAGCCCGAGCAAAGACACGGCAUCCUCAGGGGACUCUGAGCAGACUAGCUACGCUCUACCCAGGCACUCAUCAGACCCUUGGUCAUCCCAGGCGUGGACAAGUGAAGCAAAGCAUCGCUGUGAUGGAGAGGUCUGCCUGCCAGGAGACCGGCACAGUCCAGGCCUGCCUUUGCCUCGCUGCCUGUAGGCACGAAGGGUUUCUGCUUUACAACAGCCGUUUGUUUCUAACCCUGCCGCGUCUUAGAAUCCAACACCUGGAGUGUCUUUGUGGUUUCGUCGGGUAGGCUGAGCACGCUUUUGGCAGUGUUUAGCUUCCUCUGUUGAAGGUCAUGUAACCAGAUGGGGCUGAGAUGGUCUCCCACUUCUGAGGACUGCUACCAUUGUAGGUUCGAAAGAACAGUCACUGGGAACAGAGGCAAACCAGUUUAAGACGAAGCAAACAACCAAACCAGCCCUUGAGGACACCCGAGACUGUGAGAAGAGCAGAUCAAAGCACAUUUGGGACACUGACUUCUUACUCUCAGGCCACGCUGAUGGGCACGGUGCUACAUGCUUUGCACAAUUAACUCUUGUCAUCCAGGCCCAGACCCAUGAGGAGAAAUGCCCUCGGGAUCACACAGCUUGGAAGGGGCAUAGCGGAGAUUUAAAUGGAGGUCUGAUUCUAGCACCGGAGCUCAGAACUCAAAAUCGCUGCAUGAGAACACCUCAUCUGUUAAGUGGAAUAACAGCAGGACCCACCUCCCAAUGGGAAUGUUCUGCGGUUCGGAAGAGGCCAUCUAUAUACAGCCUUCAUAAGGGGUCAGUCAGGUCAUGGCUGCCAUUACCAAUCUGCUUUUGCUAAACCCACUGUUAAUGUUGCUCAGUUCAGUGCUUUGGGGCACACGCUGUUACCAAGUCCUUCUCUUUUCUGGGUUCGGUUCUCAACUGGUUUCACUUUUAAAAGAUAUUCUAUGAAAGCAAUUCUGGAGGCAGCAUCCUUCCUUCCGUGGGGUUUCAGAAGAGGCAUCUAUCCUUAAGAAGAGGGGCAGAGGGAGCCUGGUGUCUAAACAUGGCCAGCAGAGCCCUACUGGGAAGCUGCCCAUGGGGUCUCUCCACCCCACAGGUGGCCGGUUCCUACAACCAACCACCUCCCCUCCACCCAGACUGCAACCAGCCUCCCUCACUGCUCUCUCCCUUUCAACCCUGUGCCCUGAGCUGCAGCCAGCCUACAUGGAGGGCACACUCUCUCCUCCAACUGCCCCGUGACAAGGGCUCUGCCUUGCUCGCCUCCCCACAAGUUCCAGACCACGGUUUUCCCCAGUCCCCUUCCCGGCUCUCAGCUGGGGUUUCAGAAACACGUGGCUGUGAGUCUGGCCCUUUACAGUCAGGCUUCACUUUGGACAGCCCUAAAGAGGGGCUCUGUCUUCACCGGUGAAGAAAAAAUAGAGCAGGGUCAUCCCUAAAGAAUUAAGAACUCCAUUCUCAAAAUACGGCCCAAAUCUGCUCCAGAGAGAAUGAGUUUUAGUCACAAGAUUAGAAAUCAUCAAAAUUGCUGGAAACUGUAGAAUUGGAUCUUACUCUCCAAUAGAAUAGAAUAAGUUAUGUUCUUCUGCCCUCUACUGGUAAAGAGCAGCAUCAGCGCUCCCAGAGCCCUCAGCAAGGAUGCAAACAAAAGAUGGUGGGGACUCACGCUGCUCCCUUCUCUUUCCUAGAGACACGCUGGAUGGGACUUCUGCUAUUAACUCGUGGCAGGAGGAGGGGGAGGCUACCAUCAGCAAGAUGCCCAGGUGGACUAGAAACGUGCCCCUCUGUCUUAUAUCCAGGGAGGCUUCAAACUUCCAGUGAACCCAGAACCAUGGAUGAUGGCCCUUCGCACUGGCCCAGAGGGUGAGGACAGAUGUUGCCCGGGACUGCGAGCAGGACUCUAGGCUGAGGGAACAGCCUAAGCAAAGGAAUGAAUGGCACACCGAGGGGAACCAUGAAUGAACCAAAGGUCCACCCCUUGGUCAUUCCAGGCACAGAGAAGAGAUGCUAUUUCAUUCCCAGGAGAGAGCUUCCAUUGCUCAGAAGACAUGGGUUUUAUACAGAUACACCCCUUGGACUGGGUACAUCCCUGUUCCCCCCACCCCCCCGGCCUCAGUUUCCUCAUUUGUACAAUGAAAGGGCUGGAGGAGAAUGAUGUGAGGUCCUUUCUGGCUCAGAGAUUCUGGUAACCAACCCACGGGCCUUAACCUAAGGGGACCACUGCCUACACGCUGAGGGCGGAAUAUGCUUCUUGGCCACUUGCCCUCUCCUUCCAGGCAGGCUUCCCCAUUGCACGGGGCAUGCAACCCCCUCCCCUCACCCUCUUUUGUGAUUCUUAUCUUGUACUGCCUGUGGCACAGUGGUGGAAGCUUUUUUGUUCAUGCAAUCAAAAUGGCGGCCAACUCCCACCAUGUGUUGGGUUCUCUGACCAGGCUUCUGCUCGUCCUCGGGCUCAUUAGGAGUGGGGGUUCAAAGGUCAACCAACUGCCACAACACAGCAGCAUCCAACCACCUCCUGAACAAACCCAGCACUUGAGAAGAAUAAGUAAAUAAAGCUGCAUUUGCUUCCUUUUUUCCCUCCCCACUUGGAUAUUCAUCACAUCAUUAGCUACAAGUAAAUAUAUCAGUGGGAUUAAUGGAGUGAAUCACAAAGCAACCUGAUUAGAUUGAAAACCACACUAUUUCUUUGGGGUGAACUGGUAAAUUUAGCACUGCCCAGAGAUGAUGGAUUGAGAAACCAGGAAUGGAGCUCUUAUUGAUCUUGAGAAUAGAUCGGUACGAGGAGGAGAGGCUGGGAUGGCUUCCUGUGCUCGGUUCUCCGAGAGAGAGGAAUCAUGGCUUCCCUGCUCACUGAACUGCACAGAAAUAGCGUGUGCUGUUCUGGGCUCAUAGUCGGAGUCGUGAUCACACGCGGUUAGGUAGUGUCCAAGAUGGACACCAACGAUCCUACCCCUGGUAUUCACGUCCUUUCUCCGGAGUGUAAACCAGAACCAGAGGCUUGCUUUCAACCCUCCAGAAUGCAGAAGCAAUGACUUGCCACUUCUGAGACAAGGUUACAAACAGACCAUGGCUCUGGUCUCAGCUGCUCUCUCUCACCUUCUUUUGGGUUGUUUGCUCUGGGGGAACCCUGGUGAGGGAGCCCUAUAGAGAGACCCAUGGAUGUGAGCCUGAACGCGGAUCCUCCAAGGCCUGCCAACAGCCUUGGAAGUGAACUUACAAGCGGAAGCUCCCCGGGGUGAGCUCUGAGAUGACUGGAGGCCAUGUCGACAUCCUGACUGCAGCCUCAUGGGAGACGCUGAUUCAGAACCACCCAACCAAGAUGCUCCUGGAUUCCGGACCCACAGAAAUAAACUAUAAUGGGAUAGC